CACGUAGGGGGCAAGCGUUGUUCGGAAUUAUUGGGCGUAAAGGGCAUGUAGGCGGUUUGGUAAGCCUGAUGUGAAAUCCUGCAGCUUAACUGUAGAAUUGCAUUGGGUACUGCCGAACUUGAAUCACUGAGGGGAAACUAGAAUUCCAGGUGUAGGGGUGGAAUCUGUAGAUAUCUGGAAGAAUACCGGUGGCGAAGGCGGGUUUCUAGCAGAUGAUUGACGCUGAGGUGCGAAAGUGCGGGGAGCGAACAGGAUUAGAUACCCUGGUAGUCCGCACCGUAAACGAUGUACACUAGGUGUCGGGGCAUGAGUCUCGGUGCCAAAGCUAACGUAAUAAGUGUACCGCCUGGGAAGUAUGCCCGCAAGGGUGAA
RNAcentral lists this ribosomal RNA (372 nucleotides) under uncultured bacterium. RNAcentral's name for it is "bacterial SSU rRNA". It matches the Rfam family "Bacterial small subunit ribosomal RNA", at positions 524 to 898 of the family's 1533-position model. The record is from RNAcentral.